Long non-coding RNA from Brassica napus (rape), 664 nucleotides. RefSeq lists it as uncharacterized. Lineage: Eukaryota; Viridiplantae; Streptophyta; Magnoliopsida; Brassicales; Brassicaceae. The transcript has 5 exons. The record is from RefSeq and is a predicted model, not a curated record.
GUUAACUCUGAUUGGAUCUCUCUUCUUUUUUCAUUUUGCAGUAUGGCAAUGAACUCUAUAAUCUGGUUACUGAUCAAGGCUAUUUGAAUGAGCGAGACUUGGUUUGGGAGAAACUAAACGAGGUGAAUGGCGAUUCAGUUUUCGUGGAUGGUGACUUCAAGGUCUUCAAGUGUGAGAGUGGCAACUGGGAUCAACAAAAUGCACUUAGUAGUACUGCGGAUUAUAUCUACAGCAUCAACAGUGCAUCAAAAGAAGGCAUGGAGGUUGAUCCCGAUCUUAAAAUGGCGAUGGAGUUGCAGGAACAAGAGUUGGCUGAAGACAUUGGUUUUGAGGUAUCAAUGAAGAAGCAGUCACAUGUCUUCUUCUUCUUCAGUACAAGAAGUGAAAGCAGUCCAACGAUGGUCCAAAGAUGGCAUAUGUACAAUCAUGAAUGUAAAUUCUCCUCCUUGCCCUGUAAAGGUUAGCUUCUUUUUCUUUCCAUUGAUUUUGAUUGUUUGGGUUUACAAAUAAAUUAUAGAUUUAGCUAAAUCAAUCAGAGCUUUUCGAUUCUUGCUUGGUUUCAUUCCUUGGUCCUUUGUAAUUUUGUUUCUUUAGUCAAAUUUUUGUAGUGAAUUUUGAUUCAAUCGUGUAAAUGGAAUCAAUGAAUGUAUGAAUAUUUUGAGAA